Molecule: ribosomal RNA, 711 nt
Filed under: Bacillus licheniformis
Lineage: Bacteria; Bacillati; Bacillota; Bacilli; Caryophanales; Bacillaceae
Description: bacterial SSU rRNA
Rfam family: Bacterial small subunit ribosomal RNA
Source: RNAcentral
ACCGACGGGAGCUUGCUCCCUUAGGUCAGCGGCGGACGGGUGAGUAACACGUGGGUAACCUGCCUGUAAGACUGGGAUAACUCCGGGAAACCGGGGCUAAUACCGGAUGCUUGAUUGAACCGCAUGGUUCAAUCAUAAAAGGUGGCUUUUAGCUACCACUUACAGAUGGACCCGCGGCGCAUUAGCUAGUUGGUGAGGUAACGGCUCACCAAGGCGACGAUGCGUAGCCGACCUGAGAGGGUGAUCGGCCACACUGGGACUGAGACACGGCCCAGACUCCUACGGGAGGCAGCAGUAGGGAAUCUUCCGCAAUGGACGAAAGUCUGACGGAGCAACGCCGCGUGAGUGAUGAAGGUUUUCGGAUCGUAAAACUCUGUUGUUAGGGAAGAACAAGUACCGUUCGAAUAGGGCGGUACCUUGACGGUACCUAACCAGAAAGCCACGGCUAACUACGUGCCAGCAGCCGCGGUAAUACGUAGGUGGCAAGCGUUGUCCGGAAUUAUUGGGCGUAAAGCGCGCGCAGGCGGUUUCUUAAGUCUGAUGUGAAAGCCCCCGGCUCAACCGGGGAGGGUCAUUGGAAACUGGGGAACUUGAGUGCAGAAGAGGAGAGUGGAAUUCCACGUGUAGCGGUGAAAUGCGUAGAGAUGUGGAGGAACACCAGUGGCGAAGGCGACUCUCUGGUCUGUAACUGACGCUGAGGCGCGAAAGCGU